This 254-nucleotide ribosomal RNA is filed under the name uncultured bacterium. Its description in RNAcentral is "partial 16S ribosomal RNA". It matches the Rfam family "Bacterial small subunit ribosomal RNA", at positions 524 to 776 of the family's 1533-position model. The record is from RNAcentral.
UACAGAGGGGGCAAGCGUUGUUCGGAAUUACUGGGCGUAAAGGGCGCGUAGGCGGCCUGUUAAGUCGAACGUGAAAUCCCCGGGCUCAACCCGGGAACUGCGUCCGAUACUGGCAGGCUUGAAUCCGGGAGAGGGAUGUGGAAUUCCAGGUGUAGCGGUGAAAUGCGUAGAUAUCUGGAGGAACACCGGUGGCGAAGGUGGCAUCCUGGACCGGUAUUGACGCUGAGUGAGCGAAAGCCAGGGGAGCAAACGGG